This is a long non-coding RNA of Gallus gallus (chicken), 254 nucleotides long. RefSeq annotates it as adenylate cyclase type 10 like 5. Lineage: Eukaryota; Metazoa; Chordata; Aves; Galliformes; Phasianidae. The transcript is spliced from 3 exons. The record is from RefSeq and is a predicted model, not a curated record.
UUCACUGCCUUGGCAGAGAAGUGCAUCCAGCAGAGCGGCCCAGAGAGAGGAGCUGAGGAGAUGGUGCAAACCCUCAAUGCCUACAUGGGUGACAUUCUGGAACAGGUGCUGGCUUUUGGAGGAGACAUCCUGAAGUUUGCAGGGGAUGCCAUGCUGGUGCUGUGGAGAGCAGCAGGGCCUCAGCUGCCUACGGCCAUCAACCUGGCGCUGCAGUGCUGCAGGAAGGUCCAGAAGAAGUACGGCACUUAUGACAC